AGCCUUGUGCAGUGGCAGUAUCGUAGCCAAUGAGAUUUAUCUGAGGCCUGAUUAUUGCUAAUUGAAACUAAAACGUGCGUUUUAUGUUCUCCAAGGUUUCUACAGAC
RNAcentral lists this small nuclear RNA (107 nucleotides) under Pteropus vampyrus (large flying fox). Its description in RNAcentral is "U4 spliceosomal RNA (ENSPVAG00000028394.1)". The stretch from base 1 to 76 matches the Rfam family "U4 spliceosomal RNA". From Rfam's summary of the family: U4 small nuclear RNA (U4 snRNA) is a component of the major U2-dependent spliceosome. The structure of U4 snRNA from yeast and human has been reported. U4 snRNA presents a k-turn RNA motif in the 5p-SL related to recognition of Snu13 protein. The record is from RNAcentral. Lineage: Eukaryota; Metazoa; Chordata; Mammalia; Chiroptera; Pteropodidae.